Molecule: long non-coding RNA, 258 nt
Filed under: Equus asinus (donkey)
Lineage: Eukaryota; Metazoa; Chordata; Mammalia; Perissodactyla; Equidae
Description: lncRNA (ENSEASG00005026793.1)
Source: RNAcentral
GCUGUGUGCUUUCCCCAGGGUGGAUGGUGGAGCAUCUUCAUGGACUAGAUUGAAGAAUUCAAAGAAGCACGUAUUCAGUGUCCUGCUUUGUGCCUUGGUUCCUCCUGUGCCACUUCUCUGCCUGAGCAUCCUGUUUUGUCUCGGGAGCACCUUUUCUGUUUGAGCCAGCUCCCACGGAGUGCAGUGCAGACACCCACUGUGAACACCCACUCAGCUCCCCUGGGCCUUUCACCCACGACUUGCCCAGAGGUCUUGCUC